UGAUAACUAAGUCAUAGCCUCCCAUUAAGUGAGUGAUAAUGAGUCCAUUAGUUUAAUAAUCAUUAGAGGCCCAAAGGCCUGAUGCUUAUUGACUAAUGGAAUUAUCAUUCAUAAUAUGAUAAUUUGGUUUGAGUCUUUCUGAUGGUGAUCAGGUUGGUCGGCCAAAGUCGGGCCUGAUCAUUUAUUGGUCCGAUUCACCAAAUCAAGUCAUGUUAAUGGUUGGACCUAACC
RNAcentral lists this long non-coding RNA (231 nucleotides) under Elaeis guineensis (African oil palm). RNAcentral's name for it is "long non-coding RNA (EGUI_LNC053760)". Lineage: Eukaryota; Viridiplantae; Streptophyta; Magnoliopsida; Arecales; Arecaceae. The record is from RNAcentral.